This 446-nucleotide ribosomal RNA is filed under the name uncultured bacterium. RNAcentral describes it as "partial 16S ribosomal RNA". It matches the Rfam family "Bacterial small subunit ribosomal RNA", at positions 338 to 795 of the family's 1533-position model. The record is from RNAcentral.
CCUACGGGUGGCUGCAGUCGAGAAUCAUUCACAAUGGGGGAAACCCUGAUGGUGCGACGCCGCGUGGGGGAAUGAAGGUCUUCGGAUUGUAAACCCCUGUCAUGUGGGAGCAAAUUAAAAAGAUAGUACCACAAGAGGAAGAGCCGGCUAACUCUGUGCCAGCAGCCGCGGUAAUACAGAGGUCUCAAGCGUUGUUCGGAAUCACUGGGCGUAAGGCGUGCGUAGGCUGUUUCGUAAGUCGUGUGUGAAAGGCGCGGGCUCAACCCGCGGACGGCACAUGAUACUGCGAGACUAGAGUAAUGGAGGGGGAACCGGAAUUCUCGGUGUAGCAGUGAAAUGCGUAGAUAUCGAGAGGAACACUCGUGGCGAAGGCGGGUUCCUGGACAUUAACUGACGCUGAGGCACGAAGGCCAGGGGAGCGAAAGGGAUUAGAUACCCGGGUAGUC